RNAcentral lists this long non-coding RNA (422 nucleotides) under Hordeum vulgare. Its description in RNAcentral is "long non-coding RNA (HVUL_LNC007584)". Lineage: Eukaryota; Viridiplantae; Streptophyta; Magnoliopsida; Poales; Poaceae. The record is from RNAcentral.
CGGGGGGGGGGGGGUAGGGCAGAGGAGAUCCUCGCCCCCUUCGGCCCAGACAGAGCUGCAGGGGGGACAGGGAGGGUCAUCCCGUCUGGAUGCUUUGCAGGAGCCGGACGUGGCUGGCAGCGAUCCCGACAGNAGUUGGCAGCUAGCGAUGGGGCCACCGGCAAAGUGGCUUUGGGCGUCACUGCGGGCCCCUGACGCCUUCUUUCCCUGGCGCCCUGACGCGGGCGUGCAGGCCCCUGCUGACCGGGCCAGGCGAGCAUCCCCUGUCGCGUGGGGCGGCGCCCCUGUCGCGGUGCGGCCGAGGACGGCCAGGGCGCAACCGUACAGGCACCGCCGGAGCGGCCGGAGACGCCGCCGGAGCGGCCAGAGCCGCCGUGGGCAUGCUGCACCAGAGCGUCCACUGCCAUGCCAUCCGCCCGGCC